RNAcentral lists this ribosomal RNA (255 nucleotides) under uncultured bacterium. RNAcentral describes it as "partial 16S ribosomal RNA". It matches the Rfam family "Bacterial small subunit ribosomal RNA", at positions 99 to 354 of the family's 1533-position model. The record is from RNAcentral.
CGGACGGGUGAGUAACGCGUGGGUAACCUGCCUCAUACAGGGGGAUAACAGUUAGAAAUGACUGCUAAUACCGCAUAAGCGCACGGUCUCGCAUGGGACGGUGUGAAAAACUCCGGUGGUAUGAGAUGGACCCGCGUCUGAUUAGCUGGUUGGUGAGGUAAGGGCUCACCAAGGCGACGAUCAGUAGCCGGCCUGAGAGGGUGAACGGCCACAUUGGGACUGAGACACGGCCCAAACUCCUACGGGAGGCAGCAG